UAAUACCGGAUAGAUCAAAGACACUGGAAUGCCCUAUGAUCCAAAACUCCGGUGCCCAAGGAUGGGUCUGCGGCCUAUCAGGUUGCAGUGGGUGUAACGUACCUACUAGCCUACGACGGGUAAGGGUUGUGAGAGCAAGAUCCCUGAGAUGGAUUCUGAGACAUGAAUCCAGGCCCUACGGGGUGCAGCAGGCGCGAAACCUUUACACUGCGGGAAACCGCGAUAAGGGGACCCCGAGUGCCAGCAUCUAAUGCUGGCUGUCCCGCUGUCCAAACAACAGCGGUUAGCAAGGGCCGGGCAAGACCGGUGCCAGCCGCCGCGGUAACACCGGCGGCCCGAGUGGUAGCCGUUAUUAUUGGGUUUAAAGGGCCCGUAGCCGGCCUAUUAAGUCUCUUGGGAAAUCUGGCGGCUUAAUCGUCAGGCGUUC
Molecule: ribosomal RNA, 427 nt
Filed under: uncultured archaeon
Lineage: Archaea
Description: bacterial SSU rRNA
Rfam family: Archaeal small subunit ribosomal RNA
Source: RNAcentral